GCUUUUGGUUCAGUGGUAGAAUCCUCGCCUGCCACGCGGGCGCCCCAGUUCGAUUCCUGGCCUAUGCA
This 68-nucleotide transfer RNA is filed under the name Cordylochernes scorpioides. Its description in RNAcentral is "tRNA-Gly". The record is from RNAcentral. Lineage: Eukaryota; Metazoa; Arthropoda; Arachnida; Pseudoscorpiones; Chernetidae.